GCCUCGGUGGUGUAGUGGUAGCACGCGUCUCCGGUAUGGAUGAAACGCCGGUUCGACUCCCGUCUGAGGUC
Parelaphostrongylus tenuis is the source of this 71-nucleotide non-coding RNA. The record is from the annotation of a GenBank genome assembly. NCBI's taxonomy places the organism in Eukaryota, Metazoa, Nematoda, Chromadorea, Rhabditida, Metastrongylidae.